Molecule: ribosomal RNA, 194 nt
Filed under: uncultured bacterium
Lineage: Bacteria
Description: partial 16S ribosomal RNA
Rfam family: Bacterial small subunit ribosomal RNA
Source: RNAcentral
CUCCUACGGGAGGCAGCAGUCGGGAAUUUUGGGCAAUGGGCGAAAGCCUGACCCAGCAACGCCGCGUGAAGGAUGAAAUCCCUCGGGAUGUAAACUUCGCAAGAGUAGGAAGAAUAAAUAGGGUUAAUACCCCUAUCGAUGACGGUACUAUUUGUAAGCUCCGGCUAACUCCGUGCCAGCAGCCGCGGUAAUAC